AGUAAAUUGGUUAAGUUAGAAAGGGCGCACGGUGGAUGCCUUGGCACUAGGAGCCGAAGAAGGACGGGACUAACACCGAUAUGCUUUGGGGAGCUGUACGUAAGCGUUGAUCCAGAGAUUUCCGAAUGGGGGAACCCACUAUCUUUAGUCGGAUAGUAUCCUUACGUGAAUACAUAGCGUGAGGAAGGCAGACCCAGGGAACUGAAACAUCUAAGUACCUGGAGGAAGAGAAAGAAAAAUCGAUUUCCUGAGUAGCGGCGAGCGAAACGGAAAGAGCCCAAACCAAGAAGCUUGCUUCUUGGGGUUGUAGGACACUCUAUACGGAGUUACAAAAGAAAGUUAUAAAUGAAGCGGUCUGGAAAGGCCCGCCAAAGACGGUAACAGCCCGGUAGUUGAAAUGGCUUUCCCUCCAGAGUGGAUCCUGAG
This 426-nucleotide ribosomal RNA is filed under the name Listeria monocytogenes. RNAcentral's name for it is "bacterial LSU rRNA". It matches the Rfam family "Bacterial large subunit ribosomal RNA", at positions 1 to 412 of the family's 2925-position model. The record is from RNAcentral. Lineage: Bacteria; Bacillati; Bacillota; Bacilli; Caryophanales; Listeriaceae.